AUUUCAUGGAUCUGGAAGGCUGAUAACAGACACGUCGAACAACGAGAAAGAGAUAAUUUCAGUGUUGAGGCUCAAAUACUUUGCAAGACAUUUACUAAACAUCCACUGUGCACCAGAUCCUAUGUCCCCCUACUUCUCAAAGAACAAAGACCAAGAUGAUGCUGGCCUGACCUGCCUCCUUGAAGAAGACCUCAGAAGAAAGGAAGACUCACUAUGCCUGUGCCAGAGUGAUCUCCAAGACUCCUCCUGACCUCACAAGUGGACUCUGAACUCAGCUAAAGUUGUAAAGCCUUGAGCAGUAGAUCACUUGGCUUCUUACUUCCUUCCCUCAUGGGGGAUGACUGGACAGGAUGACCUGAAGGCAUCACCCUCUUUAGCUUUAUAGAUCUAGGGUCCUGGGGGACUCUGUAGAUCUAUAAGAUCUAUAAGAUAUAGAUUUAGUCUGAUUCUCAGGAAAAGAAAAUGGAUGGUGUUAAUAUCUCUCUGCUACGUCCUGGUUUGUAGAUGAAGGGCUGAGCUUUACCUACACCACUGCUCUAUUCUAUUCAAGCAGCACAAAAGUCUGUCAGUGGAAGUAUCAUUGUCAUGAUCUUAGAGCAGUGGUUCUCAACCUUCCUAAUGCUGUGACACUUCAAUACAGUUCCUCAGGUGGUGGUGAACCCCAAUCACAAAAUCAUUUUGUUGCUACUUCAUAAAUGUAACUUUGCUACUGUUGUGAAUCAUAAUGU
Long non-coding RNA from Mus musculus (house mouse), 728 nucleotides. RefSeq annotates it as predicted gene, 34637. The record is from RefSeq and is marked validated. NCBI's taxonomy places the organism in Eukaryota, Metazoa, Chordata, Mammalia, Rodentia, Muridae. The transcript is spliced from 3 exons.